ACAGGUAACGGAGGGAGAGGGUAGUCGAGCGGUGAAGGGACUUGCUCCUGGAUCGCGGCGGACGGGUGAGCAAGCCUAGGAUCUGCCUGGUAGUGGGGGAUAACGUCCGGCAACGGGCGCUAAUACCGCAUACGUCCUGAGGGAGAAAGUGGGGGAUCUUCGGACCUCACGCUAUCAGAUGAGCCUAGGUCGGAUUAGCUAGUUGGUGGGGUAAAGGCCUACCAAGGCGACGAUCCGUAACUGGUCUGAGAGGAUGAUCAGUCACACUGGAACUGAGACACGGUCCAUACUCCUACGGGAGGCAGCAGUGGGGAAUAUUGGACAAUGGGCGAAAGCCUGAUCCAGCCAUGCCGCGUGUGUGAAGAAGGUCUUCGGAUUGUAAAGCACUUUAAGUUGGGAGGAAGGGCAGUAAGUUAAUACCUUGCUGUUUUGACGUUACCAACAGAAUAAGACCGGCUAACUUCGUGCCAGCAGCCGCGGUAAUACGAAGGGUGCAAGCGUUAAUCGGAAUUACUGGGCGGAAAGCGCGCGUAGGUGGUUCACCAUGUUGGAUGUGAAAUCCCCGGGCUCAACCUGGGAACUGCAUCCAAAACUACUGAGCUAGAGUACGGUAGAGGGCGGGGGAAUUUCCUGUGUAGCGGUGAAAUGCGUAUAUAUAGGAAGGAACACCAGUGGCGAAGGCCCACCACCUGGACUGAUACUGACACUGUAGGUGCUAAAGCAUGAGGAGCACAUCAGGAUUAGAUACCCUGGUAAGUCCAACGCCGUAAACGAAUGUCCAACUAGACGAUUUGGCGGAAUCCCUUU
This 807-nucleotide ribosomal RNA is filed under the name Pseudomonas aeruginosa. RNAcentral's name for it is "bacterial SSU rRNA". It matches the Rfam family "Bacterial small subunit ribosomal RNA", at positions 42 to 840 of the family's 1533-position model. Lineage: Bacteria; Pseudomonadati; Pseudomonadota; Gammaproteobacteria; Pseudomonadales; Pseudomonadaceae. The record is from RNAcentral.